UGGGGAAUAUUGGACAAUGGGCGCAAGCCUGAUCCAGCAAUACCGCGUGUGUGAAGAAGGCCUGAGGGUUGUAAAGCACUUUCAAUGGGAAGGACCACCUGCCGGCUAAUACCCGGCAGACAGACAUUACCCAUACAAGAAGCACCGGCUAACUCCGUGCCAGCAGCCGCGGUAAUACGGAGGGUGCAAGCGUUAAUCGGAAUUACUGGGCGUAAAGCGUGCGUAGGCGGUUUGUUCAGUCAGAUGUGAAAGCCCCGGGCUUAACCUGGGAACUGCAUUUGAUACGGACAGACUGGAGUUGAGUAGAGGAAAGUGGAAUUUCAGGUGUAGCGGUGAAAUGCGUAGAGAUCUGAAGGAACACCAGUGGCGAAGGCGGCUUUCUGGACUCAAACUGACGCUG
This 400-nucleotide ribosomal RNA is filed under the name uncultured bacterium. Its description in RNAcentral is "bacterial SSU rRNA". It matches the Rfam family "Bacterial small subunit ribosomal RNA", at positions 355 to 748 of the family's 1533-position model. The record is from RNAcentral.